This 762-nucleotide ribosomal RNA is filed under the name uncultured bacterium. RNAcentral's name for it is "bacterial SSU rRNA". It matches the Rfam family "Bacterial small subunit ribosomal RNA", at positions 8 to 755 of the family's 1533-position model. The record is from RNAcentral.
AGAGUUUGAUCCUGGCUCAGAACGAACGCUGGCGGCGUGCCUAACACAUGCAAGUCGAACGGAGUAUAUUUUGUAGCAAUACAGGAUAUACUUAGUGGCGGACGGGUGAGUAACACGUAAGCAACCUACCCUUAAGCUGGGGACAACUCAGGGAAACUUGAGCUAAUACCCGAUAAGACCACGAACUGAGAUAUUAGUGGUAAAAGGAGCAAUUCACUUAAGGAUGGGCUUGCGGCCUAUCAGGUAGUUGGUGAGGUAAUGGCCCACCAAGCCUAAGACGGGUAGCCGGACUGAGAGGUUGAACGGCCACACUGGAACUGAGAUACGGUCCAGACUCCUACGGGAGGCAGCAGUGGGGAAUCUUGCGCAAUGGGGGAAACCCUGACGCAGCAACGCCGCGUGGGUGAUGAAGGCCUUCGGGUCGUAAAGCCCUGUCAGGUGGGAAGAAAUAUGUGAAUGUAAACAACAUUGACAUUUGACGGUACCACCGGAGGAAGCACCGGCUAACUCCGUGCCAGCAGCCGCGGUAAUACGGAGGGUGCAAGCGUUGUUCGGAAUUACUGGGCGUAAAGCGCGUGUAGGCGGUUGGGCAAGUCAGAUGUGAAAGCCUUCCGCUCAAGGGAAGAAGUGCAUUUGAAACUACCCGGCUAGAGUACGGGAGAGGAGAGUGGAAUUCCCGGUGUAGAGGUGAAAUUCGUAGAUAUCGGGAGGAACACCAGUGGCGAAGGCGGCUCUCUGGUCCGAUACUGACGCUGAGACGCG